RNAcentral lists this ribosomal RNA (517 nucleotides) under uncultured microorganism. Its description in RNAcentral is "bacterial SSU rRNA". It matches the Rfam family "Bacterial small subunit ribosomal RNA", at positions 9 to 521 of the family's 1533-position model. The record is from RNAcentral.
GAGUUUGAUCAUGGCUCAGAUUGAACGCUGGCGGCAGGCCUAACACAUGCAAGUCGAGCGGAUGAAGGGAGCUUGCUCCUGGAUUCAGCGGCGGACGGGUGAGUAAUGCCUAGGAAUCUGCCUGGUAGUGGGGGAUAACGUCCGGAAACGGGCGCUAAUACCGCAUACGUCCUGAGGGAGAAAGUGGGGGAUCUUCGGACCUCACGCUAUCAGACGAGCCUAGGUCGGAUUAGCUAGUUGGUGGGGUAAAGGCCUACCAAGGCGACGAUCCGUAACUGGUCUGAGAGGAUGAUCAGUCACACUGGAACUGAGACACGGUCCAGACUCCUACGGGAGGCAGCAGUGGGGAAUAUUGGACAAUGGGCGAAAGCCUGAUCCAGCCAUGCCGCGUGUGUGAAGAAGGUCUUCGGAUUGUAAAGCACUUUAAGUUGGGAGGAAGGGCAGUAAGUUAAUACCUUGCUGUUUUGACGUUACCAACAGAAUAAGCACCGGCUAACUUCGUGCCAGCCGCCGCCGU